Molecule: ribosomal RNA, 429 nt
Filed under: Pseudomonadota bacterium
Lineage: Bacteria; Pseudomonadati; Pseudomonadota
Description: Proteobacteria bacterium partial 16S ribosomal RNA
Rfam family: Bacterial small subunit ribosomal RNA
Source: RNAcentral
UGGGGAAUAUUGGACAAUGGGCGAAAGCCUGAUCCAGCCAUGCCGCGUGUGUGAAGAAGGUCUUCGGAUUGUAAAGCACUUUAAGUUGGGAGGAAGGGCAGUAAGCGAAUACCUUGCUGUUUUGACGUUACCGACAGAAUAAGCACCGGCUAACUCUGUGCCAGCAGCCGCGGUAAUACAGAGGGUGCAAGCGUUAAUCGGAAUUACUGGGCGUAAAGCGCGCGUAGGUGGUUCGUUAAGUUGAAUGGGAAAGCCCCGGGCUCAACCUGGGAACUGCAUCCAAAAGUUGCGAGCUAGAGUAGGGCAGAGGGUGGUGGAAUUUCCUGUGUAGCGGUGAAAUGCGUAGAUAUAGGAAGGAACACCAGUGGCGAAGGCGACCACCUGGGCUCAUACUGACACUGAGGUGCGAAAGCGUGGGGAGCAAACAGG